UACGGAGGGCGCAAGCGUUGUUCGGAAUCACUGGGCGUAAAGCGCGUGUAGGCGGCUUGGUAAGUCGGGUGUGAAAGCCCGGAGCUCAACUCCGGAACUGCAUUAGAAACUACCUCGCUCGAGUCCCGGAGAGGGUGGUGGAAUUCCCGGUGUAGAGGUGAAAUUCGUAGAUAUCGGGAGGAACACCAGUGGCGAAGGCGGCCACCUGGACGGUGACUGACGCUGAGACGCGAAAGCGUGGGGAGCAAACAGG
Molecule: ribosomal RNA, 253 nt
Filed under: uncultured bacterium
Lineage: Bacteria
Description: partial 16S ribosomal RNA
Rfam family: Bacterial small subunit ribosomal RNA
Source: RNAcentral